GCACGAAAACUUUACAAUGCAGGCAACUGUGAUAAGGGAACCCCGAGUGCCCGUAUGGACGGGCUGUUCAGGUGCUUAAAAACCACCUGGAGAAAGGGCCGGGCAAGACCGGUGCCAGCCGCCGCGGUAAUACCGGCGGCUCGAGUGGUGGCCACUAUUACUGGGCUUAAAGCGUCCGUAGCUUGGUCGUUAAGCCUCUGGGGAAAUCUUCCGGCUCAACCGGAAGGCGUCUCAGGGGAACUGGCGACCUAGGGAUCGGGAGAGGUGAGAGGUACUCUGGGGGUAGGAGUGAAAUCCUGUAAUCCUCAGGGGACCACCUGUGGCGAAGGCGUCUCACUAGAACGACUCCGACAGUGAGGGACGAAAGCUGGGGGAGCAAACCGGGAUUAGAGACCCGAGUAG
Molecule: ribosomal RNA, 402 nt
Filed under: uncultured bacterium
Lineage: Bacteria
Description: bacterial SSU rRNA
Rfam family: Archaeal small subunit ribosomal RNA
Source: RNAcentral